AGGGCAGUAGCUCUAAUUGGUAGAGCGGCGGACUCCAAAUCCGUAGGUUGUGGGUUCGAAUCCCUCCUGCCCUGCCA
Molecule: transfer RNA, 77 nt
Filed under: Pseudobdellovibrionaceae bacterium
Lineage: Bacteria; Pseudomonadati; Bdellovibrionota; Bdellovibrionia; Bdellovibrionales; Pseudobdellovibrionaceae
Also listed under: 1 other name
Description: Bdellovibrionaceae bacterium tRNA-Trp
Rfam family: tRNA
About the family: Transfer RNA (tRNA) molecules are approximately 80 nucleotides in length. Their secondary structure includes four short double-helical elements and three loops (D, anti-codon, and T loops).
Source: RNAcentral